UGCCUUGUAGUGGAAUUGGUUAACACGCCUGACUUUGGUUCAGGAGAUUUCAGGUUCGAGUCCUGACGAGGCAU
This 74-nucleotide transfer RNA is filed under the name Roseivirga spongicola. It matches the Rfam family "tRNA". From Rfam's summary of the family: Transfer RNA (tRNA) molecules are approximately 80 nucleotides in length. Their secondary structure includes four short double-helical elements and three loops (D, anti-codon, and T loops). Further hydrogen bonds mediate the characteristic L-shaped molecular structure. tRNAs have two regions of fundamental functional importance: the anti-codon, which is responsible for specific mRNA codon recognition, and the 3' end, to which the tRNAs corresponding amino acid is attached (by aminoacyl-tRNA synthetases). tRNAs cope with the degeneracy of the genetic code in two manners: having more than one tRNA (with a specific anti-codon) for a particular amino acid; and 'wobble' base-pairing, i.e. permitting non-standard base-pairing at the 3rd anti-codon position. The record is from Rfam by way of RNAcentral. Lineage: Bacteria; Pseudomonadati; Bacteroidota; Cytophagia; Cytophagales; Roseivirgaceae.